RNAcentral lists this small RNA (646 nucleotides) under Pongo abelii (Sumatran orangutan). RNAcentral's name for it is "retained intron". The record is from RNAcentral. Lineage: Eukaryota; Metazoa; Chordata; Mammalia; Primates; Hominidae.
UCUUAACCAUUUCUCCCUUCUGGCGUACCCUCUUUCAUUGAAAUCCAUGCAGAAUAUACCAGAGAUGGGCAGUAGCGAACCCCUUCCCAUCGCAGAUGGUGACAGGAGGAGGAAGAAGAAGCGGAGGGCCCGGGCCACUGACUCCUUGCCAGGAAAGUUUGAAGAUAUGUACAAGCUGACCUCUGAAUUGCUUGGAGAGGGAGCCUAUGCCAAAGUUCAAGGUGCCGUGAGCCUACAGAAUGGCAAAGAGUAUGCCGUCAAAAUCAUCGAGAAACAAGCAGGGCACAGUCGGAGUAGGGUGUUUCGAGAGGUGGAGACGCUGUAUCAGUGUCAGGGAAACAAGUGAGUAUCAUGUGAUUCUCGCUGCUUCUCUGGGGGGACGCUUGGCCACAGAAGAGGAGGCUAUUUCUUACCAUCUCCUGACUCCAGCAUUUAGCUCUCACUCCUGUCCCCACAAGGCAGGUACCGCCUUCCGCCCCUUUCAGUGUUAGGGAGAGAAAAGAAAAGCAGCAGUAACAGCAAAGGAGCUAUUAUCUCUUCUGAAAUACUGUAAAUAUCAUCAAUUCAGGCAAGUUAGAAGAAUGAAUGAUCUGAAUCAGUGGUUGGGGGGAAAUGGGGUUUUAUUUCUUUCGGUACCUGUGGAAAC